RNAcentral lists this ribosomal RNA (431 nucleotides) under uncultured bacterium. RNAcentral's name for it is "bacterial SSU rRNA". It matches the Rfam family "Bacterial small subunit ribosomal RNA", at positions 354 to 776 of the family's 1533-position model. The record is from RNAcentral.
GUAGGGAAUCUUCGGCAAUGGACGAAAGUCUGACCGAGCAACGCCGCGUGAGUGAAGAAGGUUUUCGGAUCGUAAAACUCUGUUGUUAGAGAAGAACAAGGAUGAGAGUAGAACGUUCAUCCCUUGACGGUAUCUAACCAGAAAGCCACGGCUAACUACGUGCCAGCAGCCGCGGUAAUACGUAGGUGGCAAGCGUUGUCCGGAUUUAUUGGGCGUAAAGCGAGCGCAGGCGGUUUCUUAAGUCUGAUGUGAAAGCCCCCGGCUCAACCGGGGAGGGUCAUUGGAAACUGGGAGACUUGAGUGCAGAAGAGGAGAGUGGAAUUCCAUGUGUAGCGGUGAAAUGCGUAGAUAUAUGGAGGAACACCAGUGGCGAAGGCGGCUCUCUGGUCUGUAACUGACGCUGAGGCUCGAAAGCGUGGGGAGCGAACAGG